UUUAAAGAACCAUGAUAGAAUAGAAGAUGAUUGCAUAAUGUUAACAUGCUAUGUCUGCAUUGGAUAUUAUUGGUAGUUUAUUUUCAGCAUAGUUUCUUGAUGCCAUGUUAUGCUUUGAUUGACAUGUUAAGUUAUGCCAUGAUUGAGAUAAAAUUCUAUGUUUUGCUAUUACAAUGUUAUAAUCAUGUUCUGAUAUGCCAUGUCAUUGCCAUGUUAGUAGAUGUUAUGAUUUUGUUCAUGCUUAGUUGAUUUUAUCAUGCCAUGUUUAGUAAUUGAUAUGAGAUAGGGUGUUGCAUGCGCUCGGUUCUUGCUUUGUCUGCAGCUUGUUUGGAUGCUAUGUAUUUGGUUGUCUUGCAAGUACAUUCAAUGUACUAACCUGGUGUGUCAUGCCAGUUUUGUAGGUCGUACCCGUAUUGCUCGCUUGAUCCGUCGUGCUAGGUCGUAAUCUUGCCAGUCCUGUGAGUUGUGGAGCCCAGCUAGAGUUGUUAUGCUACCAAAUCAAUACUUACGCCGCCAUUUUUAUCAGACUUUCGCUGUCAUUUAAUAGCCUUAGGGCUAUGCCAGAUAAUUGUAUUCAUCAAUGAUGUAAUCUCAUAUACAUGUAUUUGAUGAAUAUUUUUGUACCUGGAAUGUUGUAUUAUGGACCUGUCGUGCGUCAGGUGUUAUCCUGGGCUGACGUGCGAAGGCCCCCUGCUCCAUGCGGAUCGGGAUGCUACAGGGCAUGGUAUCAGAGCAGCCAGGCUGGCAUAGGUUAUCCUAGUAUUAGAUCACCGCUACCAUUAACCGGUAAUGGCCCUAAGGGAUUUGACCCAUCCCUGCAUACGGCAUGGCCACUGUUAAUCAACAGGUGGCGCAGUCGGGGCCGACACGUCCUCACCCCGCUGUCCCUGCCUAGUUAUCCGUGGCGCGGAUAGCAACCAUAUCCUUUCGGAUCGGCCACACCGCUCACCCUUCGCCAUUAAGGGAAAGGGGCCACACCAUGCGGGCAUGUCUCGCAUAGCUGCCUAUAAAAGCCCCCUUUUCGCUCGAUGUAUCGCUCACCCCUCAGUCAACCAUGUCCCUGUAGAGAAGCCUAGCUAGUAGCACUCCAGCCAUGACUGGCACCUUCAAAGCUCCCAAGUUUCACAGCCGCACCGGUGCCGUCAACCACCCCGGCUUUCCACCCCUUCUUGCUGAGAUGCUCACCAAAGCCUUUGGCUGUAAGGCUAACCCCGAUUACUUGGUGUUCCAAUCAUCACCCGUCCCUCACCUUCAUCACUUCGAUGCAAGAGUGUGCAUCAGCCUAGCAGCGGAUGGCCAGCCGUUGGUUUUUCAGGGUAGAGCUAUGCCUACCUCUGAUUUAGCCAUUCAGGUCGCUGCUGUGGAGGCUAUGCUUCACCUCCGAACCAGAUACCCGCAUAUGGCAGCAAGGCGUGAUUUCUGCUUCUACCCCAUUGUGACAGAGGUAGGAAUGCAGCCUUCUCCCGCUAGCCAAGGAGAUGACCCCGCAAUCGCUCGCCUGGUGCAGUAUAUUACCGCCCAGGGGAUGAUGAUUUCCCAGAUGCUUGCCGAGUUUCGAACUCUGGACAACGAUGCGGUGCGAGUCGUCAAGGAAGCUUACCGUGAGGCUCGUAAAUUCGCAUCUCAAGUCAUUUGUCCAACGCCAUUCGAACCAGUGUUGUCCUCUCAACCCGUGUUGUGGCCUAGACCCAACAUCGUCACCCUCGACAAGGCUAUUUUACAGAUCCACCAGCAGCAUUUGCUCGGAUCAAUUUCAGCCACACCCCCAGCAGCCGAACCCCAACCCAUAGUAGUGUCGGAUGAUGAAGAUGGAGAUUGGCUCAGUCUUCGUCCUCCCGGAGAGCCCCAGCAAGGCUGCAUGACCUCAGUCAAGCAGUAAGAUGAUCAGUCUGUCGGUUCAUCCUUGAUAUGAGGGUAGAACUAUGUAUCCCUAGAUGAGUUGCUUCGUUUAGCGCGUAGCGUGUUCGUGUUCUGUUGUCUGCUGGUACUGUUGUAGUCCGUAUGCUGUGUUCUAUGUAUGUUUUUGUGCUUUUGUUUUUGUGUUGUUUUUGCUUGUCUCUCUGUCAAGCAGAAAUGUUUGACUGGGUUGACACUGUGUUGCUAACAAGAUUUUAAUUAGUAGAUCACAUACACUAAAUUAACCCUGACUCGUCUCGAGUCUAUAAUAAAAUGCGCGCUGGUGUAGGUAUAUGUAUACCAGGAGUACGUAUAUGUAUACCAGGAGUACAUAUACCCACUAGCAUUAAAACACCGUAGAAUGAUUUUGCCUGGUGUGUUUUCCGUUGCAUGUUUAUUGCCUCUGUUUGUUUGCUAGUUCAGAUUUUUCUGCAUACUGCACGCAUACCCGGUUCACCCACGAGUACAUUCGGGCAGUACUCGGGGAAAUGCAAAGUCACAUAUCCCUAUCUAUCUGUGCGUACGCCGUGUGCCGGAUUUCCAACUCUAGAAACCCCGCAGAGGCAUUUCCGCUUGGAAAUUCCUCGUCUCUAAAUCUUUUUCCUGAUUUCAUUUCCGGAGAAACACUGCCAAUUUUAUUUCACUCGAUCCAGUACAUCUACCCCGAUACAGGUUUCACCCUUGAUUCUACCUCGACACCUACGUUUCGUGGAGGAAUCCGCGAAUUUUUUUUCUCGGUGCCCCCAACUCGUUUGAAUUUAACCAAAGGAUUAAAAAUUAACCCCGAGGUUUUUCUCCGGAGUUGUUAUUCUUUCGUUUGUGCUGUAACCCUAGGAAUCUCGAGGACGAGAUUUUAUUUUUAAGGGGGGAAGAGUUGUAACAGCCCCAAAAUUGGGUUAUCAAUUUUUGUGCUGUUAUUCUCUCCUGGCACUCAUUUUCAAAAUUUUCUCCUGAGUUUACUGGAUGACCCUGAGAAAAUUUUGUCAUUUCCAACCUUUCAAAAUCCUGCUCAUGUCUUUUUCAGUGGGCAAGACCUCAUUUGCAUCAGCUCAAUUCCUCUUAAACCCUAAUUCCAUUUUUUUGGAAUUUGGAUAUGCCCUUGUGAUUACAAAGGAGCCACCAUUUUCCUUGUUCUGUUGAUCCUCCCAAUUGAUCCCAGAGAUCAUCCUAUCUUUCUUAACCUUGGAUAUGCAAAAAUAUUGCUAAGUCCAAUGCAAUAUUUUUGAAUUAUGAUUUAUUCCUUUUCUUGCCUUUCUGAGGAAUAAAAUCCAAAGGCAUAUCUAGCCAUCUCCUAAAUUCAUGAGAAUUGGUGGAGUUGAUGCUUAUGCCUAAUCCAAGCUCUGGCAAGUAUAUUGGCCAUAAUUAAAUAAGGAAAAUUGCCUUUUCCUAUUUAAUGCCAAUAUUGCAUUUCUGCCAAUUUCCAAAGGAACUACUAUUUUUAUACCAGAGAAAAUUCCCACAUAAAUUGUGGAGCUUGUCCUUGCUAUAUAAUCACUAGUUCCAUCCUAAUAUCAUGAUUCCACAGUUCAAAAUUUGGCACAUGAUCCAAUGCAAGUUUCUGCCUUCUCUGAAAUUUUGCAAAGGAAGUGCUUUAUUGCUAUGUCCAAUUGAGCUGCAAUUUGGCAGGUUGUUUAGCAAUGUUAAACAACCCAUGGGUACCAAAGAUGAGCUCAAUCCAUUCACCCUAGCUCCUUGUGCAAUAUUUCAAAGUUUCUGACCAGAACACAAGUUUGUGAAGGAAGUACCUUCAUAGUGUUUCCAAAUGGGAUGAAACUUCUCCAUCCUCUCAAGUAUCUCAAAUCAUUAUCCUCCACCUAAAUUCAGUUCAUUUAACUAAACUAUGUGAGCACAGGAGCAAUUCUUGUUUUCUGUCCAAAUUUUCAGUUUGUGAAGCGAGUGUAUUUUAUCUUGCUCCAUUAUGGCUGAUAAUUUUUCCAAGCCUUCUCCUACUCAUAUAACCUAUCUCCACAAGGUUGUGGCUCAUUUAACUUGACCAAUUGCCCUAAGGAUUUUUCUGAAGUUUUUGGACAGAAAUGAUAGCUGUGAAGGAAGUACCAUUUUGGUGAGUCCAUUUGGUAUGAACUUUUUACAGCAUCAUGGUAUGUUCCAAUCAUUAGGCUUUGCCAAGUUAUAGCCCAAUCCAUCACUCCUAGUGAGUGUUUCAUCAUGAUUAAGUUUCGGGGUCAGUUUUGGUGGUUGUACAACAACUAUGGUAAAUAGUUGUCCAUUUUACCUCAAAACUCCCAGGACCGUAGUCCUUUCUACCCCAAGCCUCUCGGACAUCUAGUUUACCAUUUACCCUCUCUAGUUUAAUCUCUAGGAUGUUGCCAAGUUUGCAACAGCAAACUUGUGGAGCUUGUUUCACUCAUCUCCAUUUGUCUCUGCCCGAUCUUUCACCAUGGUAACACUCCACGCUGGAAGGACUACGCGGUAGACAUGAAUUUACAUCAGUUAAAACCCCAAAGCGUGCCAUGCCAGUGGUGACCACGCGUGUAACCAGCCAAAGCGGUGGUCUAGCCACUGUGGUCGUCGGCAUCGCUGCCCCGACCGCCUCUGGCCUCGCCAUUAAUGUCGAGUAGCCUCCCUCGUCGUCGUCUUCCCUCUGGACCGCUGCCCCCCUUCGUUUUCUUCUCCGGAGAGCUGUGCCAACGACUGGAAUAGUGCGCUCCUGUGCAUCGUAGUCUUCCUCGUCGAUGUCUUCUUCCUCCGUUCGUCCGCACGCCUUCCUCGUCUCCAUGACCCUCUGGCGUUCGUCUUGAUCCCCCUCGUCGCCUUCCCGUGCCUCCCCGUGAGCCUUGGCCGCGCCUGCGCCCUCGCCGGCGCACGGACACGUCGCACGCCGCGUGCCACCUCGCCCCCCCCCUUCCCGAGCUCUCCCGCAGCUAUAAGUAGAGCCCUCGAGCUCUUCCGCAGCCACAACGCCUCUCAAAGCCUCCCCACUCGCCUCGGAGCUCCACAUCCCCUCCAUGGCCGAAUGGCCGCCGCCGAUCCCCCUCGACCAUUCUCUCUCUCCGUCCGUCCCCUGCCCAGUCUGAGCCCAUGGAUGGACGCGCCACUCCCCGUCGAUCCUCCCUGGCUCGCCGCCCCUCCGCUUCCCCCACCAGAACCCCAUGCCCACCAGAGCCCGAAGCCCCUCUCCGCCGUGUGCCCUGCUGCUUCUUCUCCCGCGCUCCUCGCCGGCAACCGAGCCCACCAGGAGAUGCGCCUCGUUCUCCUGAGCUCGUGGGUAGGUCGGCCGUCGCGAGAGGUGUCCGGACGCGCCGGCGAUCGCCGUCGGGGCGAUCCCCUCCCGCUGCCUCGCUCGGCCCCGAGCGUGAGGAAGAAGAAGGCCAGGCGGGCCCCGCCCGCGUUGACCCUACCUCUGGGCCCCACCUGUCGGCCAGACGGGGAGCGCCACGUUGGAUAAGUGGACGCGCCCCAGGCGCGAAGCCGUUUUCCCCACGCGAAAGCGUAUUGCUGGAUAAUGCGCUUUCAAUCACCGAAAGCGUAUUCUUCCUCUUCUUCGGGUUAGAAUGCGCUUUCCUUUCUGGAAAGCGUAUUUCUGAGAAAGACGCGAUCUGUUUUUCUGCUAGGGCCCCGUUUGUAAUGAUUUUCUUUACAAAUUGGUCCCUGAUAGUUAAACGGUCAUAUCUUUUUACCCACAACUCCAAAUGAGGUGAAUCCAAAACCCACGUCUUUGUUUCGUCGAGCUCGUUCCGUUGAUGUCAUUUUCAUAAUAUUUUCACACAGUGAAAAUGACCUUUUUGCCCUUGCCCGUAAACAGCCCCCUCCGAGUAGGAACUGUUUCCGGCAAAUCUUUUCGCGAUCAUUUCGCACUUCUUCCCGGAGUAUUUGUCGACCCCAGGCAAGCCAACCUCUUAUCAUGAGCCCCGAACUUGCAUGUUGACUUUGCUUGCACCUUGUGUGUGUGUGUAGUUGCAGUUGUUUUAUAUCGUUUUCAUCGGCAGUUAUUUCUUUAUGCCCAUCUUGCAUGCUUGUGUUUCAUGAUACCUUUGCCAUGUUAAUUAGAAUGUUAUUAUUAAUAAUGCCAUGCCACUACUCUACUUUAUUUGCAUGUCAUCGUUAUAAACUGUUAUGAGGAUUGUAAUGCACCGUUGAUAUACUAUUGUCGUGUCCUUUAUGUUAUAGUUGUGCACUUGAGGAGUUCAAUAUUUUGUUCGUGCAUUUGUAUGCGGCAUGUUGCACUCAUGUUAAAUAUGUUCAUGAUGAUGGAGAAGGAAAUAAAAUGACUUAAUAAUAACAAACCUCCUCCGUCAUCGAUGGGAUCGAGUCAUAGUGCCGCCAAACCGAACUUUUUCAGUGCAGCUACAUUUGCCUUAUGGGAGGCCUUAAUGCGAGCUAUUGUCGUGACCUCUCGCCGGUGCCUCCCACUAGGGAAGGUUAUGGGCGUGCUUACCCUGAUCAGGUAAGCGGACAUAACCUUGUGUGCUUGUUUUUGAGAUUUUUGGUACCAGUCCCCGAGUGGGAGUUGACCAUGACGGUGGUCGGGGUGUCUUUCGUAGACACGGGGCCACCCAGGACCAGCCUGUUGGGGAUUGGAUCAGAGUGGCCGGGAGAGCGUCAUGGCAGUAGGUUGGUUUCGUCGGAAUGCCGUUGGUCCACCCGAAUGGGAUGACGAGGCCAUGGGUUUCGUGGUGUGGGUACAGUGUGCUACCUCUGCAGAGUGUAUAAAGUCUAUCGAUAGCAACAGUUCGUAAUAGGUCCCACUAUCAGGUCUUGGUCGAAAUGGAGGACAAACCGAAAUAAUUAAGUUGGUAAAUAAAUAUGUGAUAACAAGAAUAUGGUAACUUGAACUAUGAGAUAGUCGUGAGGAGUCACGACGAAAUGAUGAGAUAAGUGGUUGUGAUCGCCGUAAGUAUCACGGGCCAAAUAUUGGUCGUGGUUGUGAUCGCCGUAAGGAUCACGGUUGGAGACCAAGUGUUGGUCGUGGUUGUGAUCUCCGUAAGGAUCACGAGUUGUUCUUGAGAAAGACCACUUUGGUGGUGUGUUUGUGAUCCAGAGAUGAUCACAGUUGAUAAGAGAGUCCGAGGGACUUGGUGCACAAGUUUGGUUGCAUUGCUGGAAUAAUAUAUCAUUAUUUGCAUUUAAAGAACCAUGAUAGAACAGAAGAUGAUUGCAUAAUGUUAACAUGCUAUGUCUGCAUUGGAUAUUAUUGGUAGUUUAUUUUCAGCAUAGUUUCUUGAUGCCAUGCUAUGCUUUGAUUGACAUGUUAAGUUAUGCCAUGAUUGAGUAAAAUUCCAUUGCCAUGUUAGUAGAUGUUAUGAUUUUGUUCAUGCUUAGUUGAUUUUUAUCAUGCCAUGUUUAGUAAUUGAUAUGAGAUAGGGUGUUGCAUGCGCUCGGUUCUUGCUUUGUCUGCAGCUUGUUUGGAUGCUAUGUAUUUGGUUGUCUUGCAAGUACAUUCAAUGUACUGACCUGGCGUGUCAUGCCAGUUUUGUAGGUCGUACCCAUAUUGCUCGCUUGAUCCGUC
This 7363-nucleotide long non-coding RNA is filed under the name Triticum aestivum (bread wheat). Its description in RNAcentral is "long non-coding RNA (TAES_LNC024116)". The record is from RNAcentral. Lineage: Eukaryota; Viridiplantae; Streptophyta; Magnoliopsida; Poales; Poaceae.